This 490-nucleotide ribosomal RNA is filed under the name uncultured Glomeromycotina. Its description in RNAcentral is "SSU rRNA". It matches the Rfam family "Eukaryotic small subunit ribosomal RNA", at positions 569 to 1063 of the family's 1831-position model. Lineage: Eukaryota; Fungi; Glomeromycota. The record is from RNAcentral.
AGCAGCCGCGGUAAUUCCAGCUCCAAUAGCGUAUAUUAAAGUUGUUGCAGUUAAAAAGCUCGUAGUUGAAUUUCGGGAUCAAGGCGUCGGUCGUGCUUCGGUACGUACUGGCGUCAUUGAUUUCUCCCUUCUGACGAACCAUGAUGCCAUUAACUUGGUGUUAUGGGAAAUCAGGACUGUUACUUUGAAAAAAUUAGAGUGUUUAAAGCAGGCUCACGCUUGAAUACAUUAGCAUGGAAUAAUGAAAUAGGACGUUCGAUCCUAUUUUGUUGGUUUUUAGGAUCAACGUAAUGAUUAAUAGGGAUAAGUUGGGGGCAUUAGUAUUCAAUUGUCAGAGGUGAAAUUCUUGGAUUUAUUGAAGACUAACUACUGCGAAAGCAUUUGCCAAGGAUGUUUUCAUUAAUCAAGAACGAAAGUUAGGGGAUCGAAGACGAUCAGAUACCGUCGUAGUCUUAACCAUAAACUAUGCCGACUAGGGAUCGGAUGAUGU